Molecule: long non-coding RNA, 2578 nt
Organism: Gopherus flavomarginatus (Mexican gopher tortoise)
Lineage: Eukaryota; Metazoa; Chordata; Testudines; Testudinidae
Exons: 2
Source: RefSeq, a predicted model, not a curated record
AGGAGGGCAGCGAGCAGGGGUGGAAAUGGGAACCGGAGCGAGAAACGGGAUGGAGGGGGGUUGGAAACCAGAGACCCAAAGAGGUUUUCCCAACCCCUGGAAAAGUGAACAAGAAAUAUGCUCCUUCAAGAAGUAGUUGCGGUUGGACGCAUACCACAGAAGAAACAGAACUCCCCUAACCAUGCAAAUGGAAAGAAAGAUUCUCUCUUUUGUAUUAUGCCAGAUGACAGAGAUGGACAAGCACACUUUAAAAGACAACAGUACAGAGGCAGGAGGUGGGACUAAAUAGAGUACCUAUUCAAGUUGUAGUGGAACCAUAGUCACUUGCAUGAUGAUCUACUAUAAAGUUUUACAGCAAAGAUGAUGGUGAUGGACAUAUGUGUAACAAAAUAAGAAACAGACGUAAUUAAACAACCCCAUAUCACAGAUAUUAUAAAAUCACAAUAUAUUGGAAAUAGUAUAAUCCUGAUCAAAAAGCAAUGCAAUACAGUCGUAGCAAUCUACAGUUUAUAAAAUAAGGUCCAAAACCCACCCAGUGAAAUGCAAAGAAUAGCAAACUACUGAAACUGGUAAAGUAUUCACAAAAUAAAUGGGUAUAUGUAAAGAUAAAUAGAUAUUUUUCCCAUGAUGCACUGGGGGAAAGACCAUACUAACUAGAUAGACUUGAAAGCAACAAGUUUGCACAAGCUGUGAGAGAACAGGAAAAUUAAACUCAUGUAUUGAUAAAGUGCACAAGUUUAGACAUACUGUAUAUAAAAUAAAAGCUAUAUUAGAAGCAGAAGAAAGUUUUAAUUGAUGCAUGAAAAUAUGUACCCAAUUGGAGAAACAGUACUUCAGGGUACAACUUGAAAAAAAAAUUGUAUUAAGGAGAGGCAGAGAAGCUGUAAUAAACUUAGAAAAGUUAUUUUUUAAAGUAGGCAACAGGGAGCUAAUAUUAAUCAUAACAUACAAAAUGCAAACUACCACAAUAUAAUUUCUGAACAAAGAAAAUACAAAUCUAUAAAUGCUGUGAAGAGUAAAGGUAUCACCACAUAUACAUUACUAUAACAAGCAGAGCAUCAAAAGUAGGCAAAGAAACAAGCUGACAUCUACUGAAAUAAGCACAAGCAACAUACAGGGCACACAGGAAAAGAAAAUGGUAAUAGGGUAAAAUACAUAAAAUAUCAUAUUCAGCAAUGCACAAAAUAGAUUAUAAUCACAGAAGCAAAGACAUGCAAUGCUUGAAAAUGAAUAUAUAAUAUUCAAAGAUGUGAAAGUGGAAUACCUGUGAAACAAAGUUAUACACAUGGUGUUUCAUAAGGUUAUUAAAAUUAUUACUUGAAGAGUGAAUACUGGACAAAAAGGAAAACAACAAGAAUCAUUCUUUACAAAAGAAAAAAGAGAAGGUGUCAUCUACAUUUUCUAUAACAGAUGAUCAAGAGAUAACUAUCUUGCAGGUUUAUUUAGAAACUGAUCUUUUUCCACCAGACAGUUUGAAUUUUAUUUAGUCAUUGAAAGAUGGAAUCUUUACCCCAAACAUUCUAACACUUGAAAAAUCUAAUUUAAAUAGUUGAACCUAAACUUUGUGGAAAUAAUGGAGAAUGUCUACACUGGAUCAGUUCUUACUUUUUCAGAAUACCCUUUGUUUAAAAGAUGAAAAAAGACUGACCACUGAAGUACACUAAAGAAAUGAGGAAGAUGCUGAAAAAUGAGAAUUUAAAGUCACAGCACAUGUAUCUGUUGCUUGCAAUAUGAUCAAGAAUAAGGAAAAUGCAGAACUCAGGGGAAGAGAGGUGCAGUUUAAUAAAUAGCUAUUAAAAAUCCUUGGAACAAGGAUUAUGGCUAUAACACCUUGUAAACUGAUCACCAGAUAAGAUUUAAAAAAAAAUUAAGACAAAAUCUGUGUUUUAAAAAAUGUAUUUGCCUAAGUAUUACAAUACAUAUGUGAAAAAGAACUUAAAAUGUACAAGUUAAAAAAAUCCAGAAAAUGAUUAAUCUUAAAGCAUCAACAGUAAACUAAAAGAUUGGGGAGAUAAAAAUCUGAUAAUAUUUGAGCACAGAGGGCUAAAUGAUAUUGUUAUGGACACUAACCAAGCACUGACAAAUACUUUGUUAAUUAUAUGACCAUGCAUAUACAUACAUCUUGGGCUUGAGAUAAAUGGUUAUGAAAAAUAAUUGCUGUGAAAUUGCAUAUAUGUACAUAUACCCUUUGAAGUCCAUACCACAAUAAACUUCAUUACUGUAUAUCACCUACCCCUGUUAACACACUCAUUGCAGGCUCUGAACAUUGACUAGUGUAAAACUUUGCUUAGAAUGGAAAGCAAAAAUUGAGACAAUUAUUCCUAUAUUUGCAUAUAUGAAUAAUUAUGCUUCUCAUCAAUAAUAGCAAACUCAGCUGAAAUUUUAUUUCACUAGUUUAUAAUACUGAUAUCAGAUUUUUGUAGCGAAAGGUAAAAAGCUAACAUUUUGUAAAAAUGUGUAAUUGUAGACUGACUAUUAUGCCAAUACAUGCUCAAGUAUAUCAAUUUUAUAAUAUUACAAUGUCCCACUGGAAGAUGUUAUUUUUAUUUAUUAAAAGAGAUACAUGGAUAAAGAAACA